CAGGCCUAACACAUGCAAGUCGAACGAAGGCUUCGGCCUUAGUGGCGCACGGGUGCGUAACGCGUGGGAAUCUGCCCUUGGGUUCGGAAUAACAGCGGGAAACUGCUGCUAAUACCGGAUGAUGACGUAAGUCCAAAGAUUUAUCGCCCAAGGAUGAGCCCGCGUGGGAUUAGCUAGUUGGUGGGGUAAAGGCCCACCAAGGCGACGAUCCUUAGCUGGUCUGAGAGGAUGAUCAGCCACACUGGGACUGAGACACGGCCCAGACUCCUACGGGAGGUAGCAGUGGGGAAUAUUGGACAAUGGGCGAAAGCCUGAUCCAGCAAUGCCGCGUGAGUGAUGAAGGCCUUAGGGUUGUAAAGCUCUUUUACCCGGGAUGAUAAUGACAGUACCGGGAGAAUAAGCUCCGGCUAACUCCGUGCCAGCAGCCGCGGUAAU
RNAcentral lists this ribosomal RNA (435 nucleotides) under uncultured bacterium. RNAcentral describes it as "bacterial SSU rRNA". It matches the Rfam family "Bacterial small subunit ribosomal RNA", at positions 43 to 524 of the family's 1533-position model. The record is from RNAcentral.